This 253-nucleotide unclassified non-coding RNA is filed under the name Hevea brasiliensis (rubber tree). The record is from RNAcentral. Lineage: Eukaryota; Viridiplantae; Streptophyta; Magnoliopsida; Malpighiales; Euphorbiaceae.
GUGAGUUUCUUCUUCCUUUCAUGCAAUUCAUGUUAUCUUCAUUUUUAUAUUGUGAAGUAUCCACAUUGGUUAGGUAUGUGGGUAAUGUGCUCCUUAAAAACUUGGGCAACCCUUCUCCUUGAACUAACUUUUGAGGUUGAGUUAUAAUCUCUCUAUUUUCUUAUUAUGGUAUCACAACCUCUCUAACUGGUGUUGGGCUUCUCAAUACAUGUUUCACGCUUCAAGUGUUAGCCCUGUGCGAGUGUGUGUUGGG